AAAAAAAAAGUAAAAAA
This 17-nucleotide small RNA is filed under the name Arabidopsis thaliana (thale cress). RNAcentral's name for it is "ATSL124410". Lineage: Eukaryota; Viridiplantae; Streptophyta; Magnoliopsida; Brassicales; Brassicaceae. The record is from RNAcentral.